GAAACGCAACAACACCCAUCACCACGCCAGGAUCGUUGGACGGGCCAUGACCAGCAGCUUCUCUGAGGUUCCUCUGGACAACCCGGCCUAAAAGAGAUCCUCCUUUAUCUGCAGCCCCUUCACAACCACGACUGAAGAAAAAACGUGAAGUAAAAGGUAAAUUCAUCGGAAACGCCUGAAAACAAAGUAUUUCUUUCAAUUCAUAUUAUAUAGGCUAGUUGAUUAAGUUUAUGUUUUCUCUGUCUAUAAACAAUUUAACUAUUGUUGUCUUUUAUAUCUCAGGAUAACCUAUGGAAAUMCUAAGUUAAAUUUCACAAAUGCUAUGUUUAUAUUCUGMRACUUUUAUUAUACUGUAUUUUUGUUAUCAAGGCCUUCYGAGUUAAUAAGCCUAAUUUUGAUUAAUUCAUUUAAAUUCUAAACAUAUGCCCUGCGUCACAGGGUCCAUGUCUCUUGUGUGUGUAUAUAGUAUAGAUAGGAAGUAUGUCUUUAGGGAAGAGUAGCAGUGUCAUAAUGUGUUCAUGUUGUUAUUCUGAUUUACUUAGGAUUUAUACCAUGGCAUUGUUGAAUACUGAUUUCUGAUUGGCUUGAAGMGCAUUCUAGAAAGCUGCAUAAUUUAUUUACAAAAACUCAUAUGAAGUCAUACGAGACAUGAGGUCAUGUAUGAACUUAAAAUUGUUAACAUCUCUGUUUCCAAGAUACAUUUUUGGGGAGAUCAGUUUCAAAUCUUUAUGCAGAUUUUUCACAUUCCCCCUCGAGCUAUAUUGUCAAUUCAUUUGUCUUUUUGAAAAAACCUGCAAUACUUCCAUCGUCAUGUUCUGUACAUUUUAUUUACAUGGAUUUGAUUACAUCUUUUUUGUCUGUUCUGAUGUCAGUAGCUAGAUAAAUGUAGUGAAUGUGUCACAA
Molecule: long non-coding RNA, 903 nt
Organism: Salvelinus sp. IW2-2015
Lineage: Eukaryota; Metazoa; Chordata; Actinopteri; Salmoniformes; Salmonidae
Source: RefSeq, a predicted model, not a curated record